UACGGGGGGAGCAAGCGUUGUUCGGAUUUACUGGGCGUAAAGGGCGCGUAGGCGGCCACUGCAAGUCAGUUGUGAAAUCUCCGGGCUUAACCCGGAAAGGUCAACUGAUACUGCAGGGCUAGAGUGCAGAAGGGCAACUGGAAUUCUCGGUGUAGCGGUGAAAUGCGUAGAUAUCGAGAGGAACACCUGCGGCGAAGGCGGGUUGCUGGGCUGACACUGACGCUGAGGCGCGAAAGCCAGGGGAGCGAACGGG
RNAcentral lists this ribosomal RNA (253 nucleotides) under uncultured bacterium. Its description in RNAcentral is "partial 16S ribosomal RNA". It matches the Rfam family "Bacterial small subunit ribosomal RNA", at positions 524 to 776 of the family's 1533-position model. The record is from RNAcentral.